This 229-nucleotide ribosomal RNA is filed under the name uncultured bacterium. RNAcentral describes it as "partial 16S ribosomal RNA". It matches the Rfam family "Bacterial small subunit ribosomal RNA", at positions 28 to 259 of the family's 1533-position model. The record is from RNAcentral.
GACGAACGCUGGCGGCGUGCUUAACACAUGCAAGUCGAGCGGUAAGGCCCUUUCGGGGGUACACGAGCGGCGAACGGGUGAGUAACACGUGGGUGACCUGCCCUCAGCUCUGGGAUAAGCCUGGGAAACCGGGUCUAAUACUGGAUAUGACUCCAUGACGCAUGUUGUGGGGUGAAAGCCUUGUGCGGCUGAGGAUGGGCCCGCGGCCUAUCAGCUUGUUGGGGGGUGA